GAUGAACGCUGGCGGCGUGCCUAAUACAUGCAAGUCGAGCGAACAGACGAGGAGCUUGCUCCUCUGACGUUAGCGGCGGACGGGUGAGUAACACGUGGAUAACCUACCUAUAAGACUUGGAUAACUUCGGGAAACCGGAGCUAAUGCCGGAUAAUAUAUUGAACCGCAUGGUUCAAUAGUGAAAGACGGUUUUGCUGUCACUUCUAGAUGGAUCCGCGCCGCAUUAGCUAGUUGGUAAGGUAACGGCUUACCAAGGCGACGAUGCGUAGCCGACCUGAGAGGGUGAUCGGCCACACUGGAACUGAGACACGGUCCAGACUCCUACGGGAGGCAGCAGUAGGGAAUCUUCCGCAAUGGGCGAAAGCCUGACGGAGCAACGCCGCGUGAGUGAUGAAGGUCUUCGGAUCGUAAAACUCUGUUAUUAGGGAAGAACAAAUGUGUAAGUAACUAUGCACGUCUUGACGGUACCUAAUCAGAAAGCCACGGCUAACUACGUG
RNAcentral lists this ribosomal RNA (497 nucleotides) under uncultured bacterium. RNAcentral describes it as "partial 16S ribosomal RNA". It matches the Rfam family "Bacterial small subunit ribosomal RNA", at positions 28 to 507 of the family's 1533-position model. The record is from RNAcentral.